AUUGAACGCUGGCGGCAGGCCUAACACAUGCAAGUCGAACGAGUGGCGGACGGGUGAGUAAUGUCUGGGAAACUGACUGAUGGAGGGGGAUAACUACUGGAAACGGUAGCUAAUACCGCAUACCCUCAGAUGUACCCAGAUGGGAUUAGCUAGUGGGUGGGGUAACGGCUCAACAAGGCGACGAUCCCUAUCUGGUCUGAGAGGAUGACCAUCCACACUGGAACUGUGACACGGGCCAGAGUCCUACGUGAGGCAGCAGUGGGGAAUAUUGCACAAUGGGCGCAAGCCUGAUGCAGCCAUGCCGCGUGUAUGAAGAAGGCCGUCGGGUUGUAAAGUACUUUCAGCGGGGAGGCGUUACCCGCAGAAGAAGCACCGGCUAACUCCGUGCCAGCAGCCGCGGUAAUUC
RNAcentral lists this ribosomal RNA (406 nucleotides) under uncultured bacterium. Its description in RNAcentral is "partial 16S ribosomal RNA". It matches the Rfam family "Bacterial small subunit ribosomal RNA", at positions 30 to 526 of the family's 1533-position model. The record is from RNAcentral.